CUGAUUGGUCAGAUGGUGUUGAUUAAUUUCCUGUAACAGCAGCUCUGUCAGUAGAUCAGACUGCGAGACAAAUCACAGGUUUAUAUGUGCACUUUUCUAUAGUACAAUGCCCGUUUCUAUAGUAACAACAUACACCGGGACUUGUUUUACAGACUACUGCUGUGUCUCAAUUCACCUACUUAUACUAUGCACUGAAAGUAUGUACUCUUUUUGUGAAGAAAAUGCACAUACUUUUGAGUGUGUAGCAAAAGAGUAUGCAGGUACAGUACCGGGACAUACCAACACGUCAGAAGAGAACGUUGUUGCCUAGUUACGCACACGGUCACUGUAAACAAACUCCUCGGUGCCUUUCAGCUUUUCUUCAUUCAUUACUCCUUAUAUAAUUUGUAUUAUAUCAUUUAAUUUACCAUCCCCGUGAUUUAUUUUUCCACAUUUCAUUUGUGCGUCCUUGAAUUCAGCAAAGCAAACUGUCACAAAACUCCUCCUUUGUGCAAGGAGUUGUGGGAAAUAUUAUCUGCACACUUCGAAAAUCUACCGGAAAUACGCUUGGCAUGAUGAAGUCUGCAUUGGAACAGAAGGGCGUUUGACAUUUAGCAGGUUGCAAUUCCUCGCACAGCAGAAUGAACUCCCACACUCUGAAAAUCAGAGUCCGACUUCCAAAUCACUCAUAACAACCGCCUGCUUCGCAGCCAAAACUGCCUUUGUCUCUGUUGUUUAUGCUUAAAAGCAUGACACAGUGGUGCUCAGUGGAGUCAUGUUCAGAAUACAAAAUGUGGAGAGAAGAGGAAUGAAGAAUACAGAUGAAGAGGUCUCUAGUGUCUCCAGUAAGUACAGUGUAGAAUAUCGGGAUAUCUACGGUAUGGUAAAGUGGAAAUGCAUCUGUCGUAGCUGCUGUCAACUGGUACAAACCAACCCUGAAUUUUAAGCAAACUGAUUGGUAUAUGAUUCAUAGGCAUGAGCACAUCACUGCUAUAUUUGAACCCAUAACAAGAUAAAUAACAAGAUCACGACUGUUUUUCAUCACUUUUCCAGAUCACGUUUGAAUUAAUGUUGGUAAUGUUUGGAUUUAAAUGAGUAACUUCAUUUUAGAACUUGAACUAGCAGCAACUUUGCAGUGUGCUAGAGUUGACAGCUAAAACUCCAUCUAUGGUUAUAUAAGAAAAACCCUCGGGCUUGUACUGUAAGUUAUGAAUUUAUUGUUAUGUAACUGACAAUUAGUUCAUGCUGUAUCACAAAACCUUUUUUUUUUUUUUUCAAAAAAUAAUAAUAAUUUUAGUAGUUAAUAAGCUGCUGCAUAUUGAAUGCGCAUGUAUUGACAGCUUCUGCUUCUCAUUGAAAUUUUAUUACUGUUCCCUAAAGGAGUUUUCCUCAUCAGAGUCAUACCGAGCUCACUGGAAGCUUUUUUUAUUAUCUGAACUAGACUUUAUGCUUGUGCUUGUUAAUGUUAAUUUCAUGCCUGUUCCUUUUGAGUUCUUUGCUUUAUUUGGCUAAAGCAAAAAUCUUUAAUUCUUUAAAAAUGGGAACACAAACAAGCAGUAAUGUUAAAUUUGACAUUACCGCAGUUUCUGCAGAGUACAUUGGAUUCAAUUAGGUUUUGUUUCUGUAUUUUUUUUCUCUGAAGUGUUCUGUUUGUAUUGUCACCAUGUACCCAGAGUUAUGAGUCACUCCUCUGGUCACUCCUCCUCCAACUCUGAUUGAUGAUUGGUGUUGCUGGUGUACUUACUAACCUCGAGUUCCUGCCUUCUCUUUGCCUGAAUAUGGACUGACUGUAUUAGGACUGUUUCGUGACGCAUCUCUCUCGAUUUUCUCGUUUGUUUUUUUUACCUGAUCUGCAUUAUUGUCUUGCAGAUAUGUUCAGUAAAGAACCUGCACAUGCAUUUUACUUCCUGAGCCUGUUCUUUACAGAAUGUUCAAGGCAAUAAGGGGGGGAAAAAAACUCUUGUGAGGAACAAAAAGAGGACAAAAAUGUAAUAAAAGAAACUGAGCAUUCGUUAAAUUUAUAGUCAACAAAGUUUUUAAUCUGUGACCAUAA
Molecule: long non-coding RNA, 2032 nt
Organism: Ictalurus furcatus (blue catfish)
Lineage: Eukaryota; Metazoa; Chordata; Actinopteri; Siluriformes; Ictaluridae
Exons: 3
Source: RefSeq, a predicted model, not a curated record